GACGGACGCUGGCGGCGUGCUUAACACAUGCAAGUCGAACGGAAAGGCCCCAGCUUGCUGGGGUACUCGAGUGGCGAACGGGUGAGUAACACGUGGGUGAUCUGCCCUGCACUCUGGGAUAAGCCUGGGAAACUGGGUCUAAUACCGGAUAGGACCGUGCUUUAGUGUGUGCGGUGGAAAGUUUUUCGGUGCAGGAUGAGCCCGCGGCCUAUCAGCUUGUUGGUGGGGUAAUGGCCUACCAAGGCGGCGACGGGUAGCCGGCCUGAGAGGGUGUACGGCCGCAUUGGGACUGAGACACGGCCCAGACUCCUACGGGAGGCAGCAGUGGGGAAUAUUGCACAAUGGGCGCAAGCCUGAUGCAGCGACGCCGCGUGGGGGAUGACGGCCUUCGGGUUGUAAACCCCUUUCGGCAGGGACGAAGCUUUUGUGACGGUACCUGCAUAAGAAGCACCGGCUAACUACGUG
This 465-nucleotide ribosomal RNA is filed under the name uncultured bacterium. RNAcentral's name for it is "partial 16S ribosomal RNA". It matches the Rfam family "Bacterial small subunit ribosomal RNA", at positions 28 to 507 of the family's 1533-position model. The record is from RNAcentral.